AUGCCAUGGUGAGGAUAUUUCUACAAUAGCUCCGUGAAUCGCUCCCAUGCAUUAUAGAGAGAUUCUUCGUCAAAUUGCUAAAAUGAGGCAAUUCACUUCUAAGCUU
Non-coding RNA from Gossypium raimondii (Peruvian cotton), 106 nucleotides. The record is from Rfam. Lineage: Eukaryota; Viridiplantae; Streptophyta; Magnoliopsida; Malvales; Malvaceae.